Gymnothorax javanicus (giant moray) is the source of this 73-nucleotide non-coding RNA. The record is from the annotation of a GenBank genome assembly. NCBI's taxonomy places the organism in Eukaryota, Metazoa, Chordata, Actinopteri, Anguilliformes, Muraenidae.
GUACAAGGUGGCACAGUGGUUAGCGCUGUUUCCUUGCAAUAAGUAGGUUCAGGGUUUGAGCCCUUGCUGGUCA